Molecule: non-coding RNA, 203 nt
Organism: Pelobates cultripes (western spadefoot toad)
Lineage: Eukaryota; Metazoa; Chordata; Amphibia; Anura; Pelobatidae
Source: the annotation of a GenBank genome assembly
CUGUAAGUCAGUAUGUUAUAUCAAGCACCUCCUCCUCCUGAUUCAGAUUCAUCCAAUUGGCAGAAACAGGAAGUGACAUUAGAGACGCACUUCCGUGCGUUCCAACGAACACUUCUGUGCAUUUCAACUGGUCUAGUGAUCCAAAAUGGCUGUGCUUUCCACCGUAGAUCCGGGAAAGUGAUAUGCUAUCCCCUUGUAAUUUU